CCUGCACGAAUGGCGUAAUGAUGGCCAGGCUGUCUCCACCCGAGACUCAGUGAAAUUGAACUCGCUGUGAAGAUGCAGUGUACCCGCGGCAAGACGGAAAGACCCCGUGAACCUUUACUAUAGCUUGACACUGAACAUUGAGCCUUGAUGUGUAGGAUAGGUGGGAGGCUUUGAAGCGUGGACGCCAGUCUGCGUGGAGCCGACCUUGAAAUACCACCCUUUAAUGUUUGAUGUUCUAACGUGGACCCGUGAUCCGGGUUGCGGACAGUGUCUGGUGGGUAGUUUGACUGGGGCGGUCUCCUCCUAAAGAGUAACGGAGGAGCACGAAGGUUGGCUAAUCCUGGUCGGACAUCAGGAGGUUAGUGCAAUGGCAUAAGCCAGCUUGACUGCGAGCGUGACGGCGCGAGCAGGUGCGAAAGCAGGUCAUAGUGAUCCGGUGGUUCUGAAUGGAAGGGCCAUCGCUCAACGGAUAAAAGGUACUCCGGGGAUAACAGGCUGAUACCGCCCAAGAGUUCAUAUCGACGGCGGUGUUUGGCACCUCGAUGUCGGCUCAUCACAUCCUGGGGCUGAAGUAGGUCCCAAGGGUAUGGCUGUUCGCCAUUUAAAGUGGUACGCGAGCUGGGUUUAGAACGUCGUGAGACAGUUCGGUCCCUAUCUGCCGUGGGCGCUGGAGAACUGAGGGGGGCUGCUCCUAGUACGAGAGGACCGGAGUGGACGCAUCACUGGUGUUCGGGUUGUCAUGCCAAUGGCACUGCCCGGUAGCUAAAUGCGGAAGAGAUAAGUGCUGAAAGCAUCUAAGCACGAAACUUGCCCCGAGAUGAGUUCUCCCUGAGACUUA
Molecule: ribosomal RNA, 838 nt
Filed under: Salmonella enterica subsp. enterica serovar Newport
Lineage: Bacteria; Pseudomonadati; Pseudomonadota; Gammaproteobacteria; Enterobacterales; Enterobacteriaceae
Description: bacterial LSU rRNA
Rfam family: Bacterial large subunit ribosomal RNA
Source: RNAcentral